UAAAAACAUGGCCUUUUGAUUUUAAUUUAAGGUCUAACCUGCCCAAUGAUUUUUUUUUAAAUGGCCGCGGUACUUUGACCGUGCAAAGGUAGCAUAAUCAUUAGUUUUUUAAUUGAAAGCUGGAAUGAAAGGUUGAAUGAGAAAAUAACUGUUUUUUUUAUAUUUCAUUAAAAUUUUAUUUUUAAGUUAAAAAGCUUAAAUUUUAUUUAAAGACGAGAAGACCCUUUAGAGUUUUAUAAAAAUUAUUUUUUUUUCUUUUAAGAAUUAAUAAAAUAAAAAAUUUUGUUUUUAUUUAGUUGGGGGGAUUAAAAAAUUUAAAAAACUUUUUUUUUUAUUUUACAUUAAUUUAUGAUUAUUUGAUCCAUAUAUUAUGAUUAAAAGAAAAAAUUACCUAAGGGAUAACAGCGUUAUUUUUUUUGAGAGUUCAAAUCGAAAAAAAAGAUUGCGACCUCGAUGUUGGAUUAAAAUUAAAUUGUGGUGUAGAGGCU
RNAcentral lists this ribosomal RNA (488 nucleotides) under Afrogethes fruticola. RNAcentral's name for it is "partial 16S ribosomal RNA". Lineage: Eukaryota; Metazoa; Arthropoda; Insecta; Coleoptera; Nitidulidae. The record is from RNAcentral.